This 121-nucleotide ribosomal RNA is filed under the name uncultured beta proteobacterium. RNAcentral's name for it is "partial 16S ribosomal RNA". Lineage: Bacteria; Pseudomonadati; Pseudomonadota; Betaproteobacteria. The record is from RNAcentral.
UACUGUCAUUAUCAUCCCGGGUAAAAGAGCUUUACGACCCGAAGGCCUUCAUCACUCACGCGGCAUUGCUGGAUCAGGGUUUCCCCCAUUGUCCAAUAUUCCCCACUGCUGCCUCCCGUAG